This 365-nucleotide unclassified non-coding RNA is filed under the name soil metagenome. Its description in RNAcentral is "partial contains 5.8S ribosomal RNA, internal transcribed spacer 2, and large subunit ribosomal RNA". The stretch from base 1 to 120 matches the Rfam family "5.8S ribosomal RNA", at positions 35 to 154 of the family's 154-position model. The record is from RNAcentral.
GAUGAAGAACGUAGUGAAAUGCGAUAAGUAAUGUGAAUUGCAGAAUUCAGUGAACCAUCGAAUCUUUGAACGCACAUUGCGCCCGCCAGUAUUCUGGCGAGCAUGCCUGUCCGAGCGUCAUCUCAACCCUCGAGCCCCCCCGGGGGCUCGGCGUUGGGGACCGGCCCCGCCCCAGGGCGCGCCGCCCCCCAAAUCCAGUGGCGGUCCCGCCGCAGCCUCCCCUGCGCAGUAGCUUGCACACUCGCACCGGAGAGCGGCGCGGCCACGCCGUAAAACCCCCCGACCACGGAGCCCCGGCUCCUGAACGUUGACCUCGGAUCAGGUAGGAAUACCCGCUGAACUUAAGCAUAUCAAUAAGCGGAGGA